Long non-coding RNA from Rhododendron vialii, 594 nucleotides. RefSeq lists it as uncharacterized. The transcript is spliced from 4 exons. NCBI's taxonomy places the organism in Eukaryota, Viridiplantae, Streptophyta, Magnoliopsida, Ericales, Ericaceae. The record is from RefSeq and is a predicted model, not a curated record.
UCUUCCUCCCCAACCGCCCCGGCGCUCGCAAAAUAAUCUCUCUUUACCGAAAGGGUUGGGGUGUCGCAGAGAGAAACAUGGAGUAUCUCCAGGGCUUAAAUGGUGCUUGAAAAUGAAGGGUACCUUAAAUGCCCACCCGGGAUAGAAGAAGUCCUCUGCGUCACGAGUCAUGUCUAGGUUUCUUCGGCCACCCACAAUCUCCAGAAGAAGCAUUCCGUAGCUGUAAACAUCAGCCUUCACUGUUAUGGGGCGGUUACUGACCCAUUCGGGGGCCAAAUACCCUCUGGUUCCUCUAACCAUUGUGACCACAUUGCCAAUAGCUAUAUGGAAGCGAGUCGACCAAUCUAGUAGCCUGUCUUGGCUGGUAGGAGAUGGGAAUAUCCAUUUGUCCAAGGAUCCAUUUAUCAUGAACUCAUAUACUAGAAGCCUGCAAAAUGUCAUUUUGCAAUGUAAAUUUCAGAACAAGGGAGUUCCGCGAACCAAAUCGCCAGCAGAUACUGAUCAGGGAAGUCCACUGGAGUGAACCCAAAUGCAAAGGUCCCAUUGUCAGAAACCCAUGCUCGGUUCUGAUCCUUUGCCGACAAUCUCGAACCC